RNAcentral lists this long non-coding RNA (1895 nucleotides) under Homo sapiens (human). Its description in RNAcentral is "HSALNT0115787". The record is from RNAcentral. Lineage: Eukaryota; Metazoa; Chordata; Mammalia; Primates; Hominidae.
UUGACUGACUGGUCAUUUAUACCCUAUUCUACAUCUAACAAAAAUAUGAUGCAGCUUACAAUAAAAGCUUAUAGAAGACAGCUAAAAUAAAGUCAGAGAGACAUCAGCAGCCAGUGAAAAAGGACUGAUAAUUCUACUAAGAACAGGAAGUAAAACAGUGACCACUUCAACCUUAAAUGUAUUUCUGACCUUCCUGGUAGCCAAGGCAAAGCAAAACAAAACGAAAUGAAAAGUCAAGAUGCUGUCUAUAGCUUUAAUACACUGAAAGAAAUACAGAAAGACAUCCUCAAAAUGCAAACGACUAAGACAAUUGCCCAGGUGCAGUGGCUCACGCUUGUAAUCCCAGCACUCUGGGAGGCCGAGGCGGGCGGAUCAACUGAGGUCAGGAGUUGGAGACCAGCCUGACCAACAUGGUGAAACCCUGUCUCUACUAAAAAUACAAAAUUAGCCAGGAUUGGUGGGACAUGCCUGUAAUCUCAGCUACUCGGGAGGCUGAGGCAGGGGAAUCACUUGAACCCGGGAGGCAGAGGUUGCAGUGAGCCAAGAUCGCACCAUCGCACUCCAGCCUGGGCAACAAGAGUGAAACUCCGUCUCAAGAAGAAAAAAAAGAAAAGACUAAGACGAUCAACUCCCUAGACAGACAGCUCCUUCUGGCUUGGCAGAAGAUGUGCAAAACUGUACUUUCUGUAUCACUAUAUUGACCUCAAAUUAAAGCCAAGGAUAUAACACUACAUUGUAAUUCACUGGAAGUAUUUCAAAUACAGACCAAAGCAGGAAACCUUCUGGUGUUCCCAGUUGCCUGGGACUGAGCUUAGAGAACUCGAGGCAAACGACCACAUGCAACCACCCAGAGCAGCAGUGAUGUUGCUGAAUGGACCACGAGGAAGAGGAAGACUGACAGGUGACAGGAAAGGACAGGACACCUGCCUGGCUGAGACGCCACCGCCAGGCCUGGGAGAAGAGGGGAGUUGUGUGAGGAUUGGAAAGGAGGAGAAGGCAUCUCUAGGGUGAGAGACGGCAGAUGUGACAAUACUGAGGUGGGAAUGUGUCACUCUUCCACUCUCCAGUGAAGUCACGCUGGUUUUCCCUUCCCGUAAACACAUUCUAAAGCACAGGCAUCCCAGUCGUGACCUCCCGAUCCAGUUCUCCUGACUCCUCCAUCCUCAGUUCCCACAGAAUGCUCGCCACUCCCAUACUGACCUCAUUCAAGACCAUUCCCUGACCACAUGCGCUCUGCAUUUCCACGCAUCGGCCCCACUCUUCCUUCUGCCCAAUGAGGCAAGAGAUGGGGACAGUCAUGAGACCAGGGCUGGGGGCUGGCUGUGUGGGUGAGUAGCUGCCUCUGCCACCGACUUGCUGUUGAGCUGAUGAUGGGCAAGUUACUUAAGCCCUCUGGGGCUUCAUGUCCUCAUCUACGAAGUAGACAGGUGCAGCACCCACUUCACGGCGGUGCUAUGAUGACGAAACGUGCUGAUGCAUGUGGAGACCUCUAGAGCACAGUGCUCAGCUCAUAAGUACACUCAGCUAAUGCCGGCUGACAGUCGUGGUACUAACAGUAAGAGCAGCCUCACUCUUACUAUUAGCCCUUCAAGGGCCAGAUCAAGGCUACCCAGUUCAGAAACUUUCUCCUCAUUUACAAUAAAGAUCCAUUGCUCCUUCAAAUUUAACUGCUUUCUAAUUUGUAUAUUUCGAUGGUGACCCUGAUUUCAUUCUGUCUUGAGUGUUUGCCUUCUAGGGACAAUAUCAGAUUUCAGCGAUUCCCCCAUCACCCAGCCAGGAGGCACUUGAUGUUUGGCUUGAAUUGAGAAACCUGAAGAAUAUUGCGACACGGAGAUUUACUCCGAUGUCAAACUUCCUUCCUAGGGCAGGAAGCCCAUAUUCAAGUACAGCAGGAA